Molecule: transfer RNA, 72 nt
Filed under: Micromonospora parathelypteridis
Lineage: Bacteria; Bacillati; Actinomycetota; Actinomycetes; Micromonosporales; Micromonosporaceae
Description: tRNA-Met
Rfam family: tRNA
About the family: Transfer RNA (tRNA) molecules are approximately 80 nucleotides in length. Their secondary structure includes four short double-helical elements and three loops (D, anti-codon, and T loops). Further hydrogen bonds mediate the characteristic L-shaped molecular structure. tRNAs have two regions of fundamental functional importance: the anti-codon, which is responsible for specific mRNA codon recognition, and the 3' end, to which the tRNAs corresponding amino acid is attached (by aminoacyl-tRNA synthetases). tRNAs cope with the degeneracy of the genetic code in two manners: having more than one tRNA (with a specific anti-codon) for a particular amino acid; and 'wobble' base-pairing, i.e. permitting non-standard base-pairing at the 3rd anti-codon position.
Source: RNAcentral
GCCGACGUAGCUCAACGGCAGAGCACUCCGCUCAUAACGGAGGGGCACCCGGAUCGACACCGGGCGUCGGCA